GGGUGGCUCAGUCGGUUGAGCAUCCGACUUUGGCUCAGGUCGUGAUCUCACACCUCGUGGCUUCGAGCCCUGUGUCGGGCUCUGUGCCGACAGCCUGGAGCCUGUUUCUGAUUCUGUGUCUCCCUCUCUUUCUGCCCCUAACCCACUCGCAUUCUGUCUCUGUUUCUCUCAAAAAUAAACAAACAUUAAAAUAUAUUAAAAAAAAAAAACUACAUAUGAAAUGCUUAAAGAAAUAAUGGAAUAAAAAAGUAGGCAAGAUAUAAUCAGAUGUCUUUGAAAAGGAACCAAAGAAAAAUACAUACAGUUAUUGAAAUUAAAUACUCAGUGGAUGGGUUCAAUGGCAGAUUAGAGCCAACAGAAGGAAGAAUUUCUGAACUACAAAAUAAACCUGAAGAAAUACAAAAGUCCAAUGAGACUGGAACUCCAAUUCCUGCUUGGCUUCCUUCACAUUCUGCUUGAGGUAGAGCACUAGACUUCCACUUCAUCUUCAUGGACCUGGGUGAUGAUGUGGCUCCCUGUCAUCCAUGAGGUUACUGUCAAGGUCAUUUUUAAACUCUUAAUGCCGGAUCAGGAAAACCCUUCCCAAGGGGGGAAGCCAUUGAGCUUAGGUGGUUCAAAGAGAAGAUGUAUAGGGGACUUAAAAUAGGUAAAUUCUCCCUUGGGGAAGAGGGAGCAAGCAGUCUUGUUCCGUGUAGUCCCACGGUGGUAGGAAUUACAGAGAGGUAGACUUGAGUUAUCAAAGAGUUUUCUAAAAGAGCUGCUCAAAGAGGGGAUAAAAUUUUCAUGAGAUAAGGGAUCCCCCAUCAUUGGAGGCAUACAAGUAUAAACCAGACUCCCAAAGGCUGGUUACAUCAGAAUCUCUUAGUAUGGCAGAAACCAUUGUUCACCAAAAUGCUUUUUCUUCCUUUUCUAUUGUAAAUAGGACUCUCAGUUUUUAGCCGGAUAUAUGGUUUAUCAGAAUAAAGACUCCUCAGGUGGU
Molecule: long non-coding RNA, 979 nt
Organism: Neofelis nebulosa (Clouded leopard)
Lineage: Eukaryota; Metazoa; Chordata; Mammalia; Carnivora; Felidae
Exons: 2
Source: RefSeq, a predicted model, not a curated record